This 360-nucleotide ribosomal RNA is filed under the name uncultured bacterium. RNAcentral describes it as "bacterial SSU rRNA". It matches the Rfam family "Bacterial small subunit ribosomal RNA", at positions 1019 to 1381 of the family's 1533-position model. The record is from RNAcentral.
CUUCGGGGCAGGAAGACAGGUGGUGCAUGGUUGUCGUCAGCUCGUGUCGAGAGAUGUUGGGAUAAGUCCCGCAACGAGCGCAACCCUUAUCAUUAGCUGCUACCAUUAAGUUGAGCACUCUAGUGAGACUGCCACGGUUAACGUGGAGGAAGGUGGGGAUGACGUCAAAUCAUCAUGCCCCUUAUGUCUAGGGCUACACACGUGCUACAAUGGUGAAUACAAAUAGAUGCAAUACCGCGAGGUGGAGCCAAACUAUAAAAUUCAUCCCAGUUCGGAUUGUAGUCUGAAACUCGACUACAUGAAGCCGGAGUUGCUAGUAAUCGCGAAUCGGCAUGUCGCGGUGAAUACGUUCCCGGGCCU